AGCAGCCGCGGUAAUUCCAGCUCCAAUAGCGUAUAUUAAAGUUGCUGCAGUUAAAAAGCUCGUAGUUGAAUUUCGGGACCAUCAUGUCGGUCGUGCCUCGGUACGUACUGGCAUUGUUGGUUUCUCCCUUCUGACGAACCAUGAUGUCAUUUAUUUGGUGUCAUGGGAAAUCAGGACUGUUACUUUGAAAAAUUAGAGUGUUUAAAGCGGGCUCACGCUUGAAUACAUUAGCAUGGAAUAAUGAAAUAGGACGUUUGAUUCUAUUUUGUUGGUUUCUAGGAUCGACGUAAUGAUUAAUAGGGAUAGUUGGGGGCAUUAGUAUUCAAUUGUCAGAGGUGAAAUUCUUGGAUUUAUUGAAGACUAACUACUGCGAAAGCAUUUGCCAAGGAUGUUUUCAUUAAUCAAGAACGAAAGUUAGGGGAUCGAAGACGAUCAGAUACCGUCGUAGUCUUAACCAUAAACUAUGCCGACUAGGGAUCGGAUGAUGUUAAUUUUAAUGUACUCAUUC
Molecule: unclassified non-coding RNA, 508 nt
Filed under: uncultured Glomus
Lineage: Eukaryota; Fungi; Glomeromycota; Glomeromycetes; Glomerales; Glomeraceae
Description: SSU rRNA
Rfam family: Eukaryotic small subunit ribosomal RNA
Source: RNAcentral